AUUGAACGCUGGCGGCAGGCCUAACACAUGCAAGUCGAGCGGAGCGGCGGACGGGUGAGUAAUGCCUAGGAAUCUGCCUGGUCGUGGGGGAUAACGUCCGGAAACGGGAGCUAAUACCGCCUACUAUUAGCUGAGCCUAGGUCGGAUUUGCUAGUUGGUGGGGUAAAGGCCUACCAAGGCGUAGAUCCGUAACUGGUCUGAGAGGAUGAUCAUUGAAAAUGGAACUGAGAGCAGGUCCAGACGCCUACGGGAGGCAGCAGUGGGGAAUAUUGGGCAAUGGGCGAAAGUCUGAACCAGCCAUGCCGCGUGUGGGAAGAAGGUCUUCGGAUUGUAAAGCCAUUUAAGUUGGGAGGCGUUACCAACAGAAUAAGCACCGGCUAACUACGUGCCAGCAGCCGCGGUAAUAC
This 407-nucleotide ribosomal RNA is filed under the name uncultured bacterium. RNAcentral describes it as "partial 16S ribosomal RNA". It matches the Rfam family "Bacterial small subunit ribosomal RNA", at positions 30 to 526 of the family's 1533-position model. The record is from RNAcentral.